This 253-nucleotide ribosomal RNA is filed under the name uncultured bacterium. Its description in RNAcentral is "partial 16S ribosomal RNA". It matches the Rfam family "Bacterial small subunit ribosomal RNA", at positions 524 to 776 of the family's 1533-position model. The record is from RNAcentral.
UACGGGGGGAGCAAGCGUUGUUCGGAUUUACUGGGCGUAAAGAGCGUGUAGGCGGCUCGAUAAGUCUGCUGUGAAAGUCCAGGGCUCAACCCUGGAAGGCCGGUGGAAACUGUCGGGCUAGAGUCCGGAAGAGGCGAGUGGAAUUCCCGGUGUAGCGGUGAAAUGCGCAGAUAUCGGGAGGAACACCAAUGGCGAAGGCAGCUCGCUGGGACGGUACUGACGCUGAGACGCGAAAGCGUGGGGAGCAAACAGG